AUUGAACGCUGGCGGCAGGCUUAACACAUGCAAGUCGAGCGGGGUGAUGGUGCUUGCACUAUCACUUAGCGGCGGACGGGUGAGUAAUGCUUAGGAAUCUGCCUAUUAGUGGGGGACAACAUCUCGAAAGGGAUGCUAAUACCGCAUACGUCCUACGGGAGAAAGCAGGGGAUCACUUGUGACCUUGCGCUAAUAGAUGAGCCUAAGUCGGAUUAGCUAGUUGGUGGGGUAAAGGCCUACCAAGGCGACGAUCUGUAGCGGGUCUGAGAGGAUGAUCCGCCACACUGGGACUGAGACACGGCCCAGAGUCCUACGGGAGGCAGGAGUGGGGAAUAUUGGACAAUGGGGGGAACCCUGAUCCAGCCAUGCCGCGUGUGUGAAGAAGGCCUUAUGGUUGUAAAGCACUUUAAGCGAGGAGGAGGCUCUUUUGGUUAAUACCCAAGAUGAGUGGACGUUACUCGCAGAAUAAGCACCGGCUAACUCUGUGCCAGCCGCCGCCGUAA
RNAcentral lists this ribosomal RNA (503 nucleotides) under uncultured bacterium. RNAcentral describes it as "partial 16S ribosomal RNA". It matches the Rfam family "Bacterial small subunit ribosomal RNA", at positions 30 to 523 of the family's 1533-position model. The record is from RNAcentral.